AUAAAUCUCAAAAGUCUUCAUUUUUUCUUAAACUCCGUGCCCAGUCAAACAGGUUCACAUAAAUUGGAAUGGAGGGAGUAGUAAUUUAGACGAGAACACACAACUAGUAUACCAUACUUCUUUAUAUUAUCUAGCAAUUAUACUACGUAAAACAAAGUUUUCUGUAGAGAUUACUUAAAGAUAGAGAUUACUCUGUCUAAGACACCCAAAGUAAUUAUAACUUCCUAUAUUUAUCUCCGAGACUCAUACCAGAACUGCUAAUAUGCUUCUUUUCUUCUCAACAAAGCGCAAAUGAAGAAAAAAAACACUUCUCUUCUGUGUGGAAUUUGAUAGCACUACUAUUCUUUCGUCACUACGAGAAGGAAAUGUUGUGCAAACCUUUGUACAGAAGUUUCUUCCUAUGUCGAAAUUCAAACAGCAAGUAAAAGGACUAGUCAUUUUCUAGUAUCAAUUAUAUCAUCCAGUAGGGAUGGCGAUGGUGCGGGGCGGGUUUACUCUUAUGCGGGUGCGGGGCAGGGCGGACCGGGUUAAAACAAUUUCUAAAAAUUUUAAAGCGGGGCAGGUUGCGGGUUUAAUGCGGGUUCAAUGCGGGGCAGCUUUGAACAUGACAACUUCAUUGGGCAUAGUAAUGGUUAUCGUAUUAUCUUAAUCUUGAAAACAUACUCUUCCCCUAGAAAAUGAUUCACGUUUACAAUCUUAUUUAACUUGACAACCCCAAUAAUUGAGAAUUAACUUAAGCAAACAAGAAAUGAAUCAGAUAUCUAAUUAACCAAUAAUAUGUUUAUUAUAACAUGUGUUAACUUGUCGAUAUCCUUGAAUAUGAUAGUGAGUUCUUUACACAAAAUACAAACUUUGACAUUCACGUAAUUAAUCCAAUAUCAAAAUUGUUUUGUGAUAACUAUCACAUAUGUUAUGAAAAAAGGUGAUAUACGCAAAAUAUGAUACCUAAACGGAUCACAUUAGGUUUUUUCUUUAUCUUAUACUCCAUUUUUAUCACUUAAUCGUAAUUAAAUGUGUAAAUUUACUUUAAUUUAUGAUUAUUAUGAUUAAAUUAGUUUUUUAUUUUAUAAAUGCUAAAGAAGCAUAAAUAUUUUACCUGAGGCCAAUAUCUUCAAAUUUUUGUUUAUUUACUGUAUUAUUCUCAUAUACAUUACAAUGACAACAUUUGUAAAUACAUAAUCUAGUAUUUUAAUUUUAUUUUUUAUAGUAUAUAAUUUGUAGGGAAAAGGUCUAGAGUUGUUUUUGUACAAGCCAUUUCAAUGUUGUGUAUCCUCCUAUAUCUAAUAUAGCAUCACAUAAUAAAAGUACUCGUCCUCAUUUAUUUGUAUGAUUGGAGUAUGUCAAACUAGUUUGUUAGAAAAAAAAUAAAAUAAAUUUAAGUGAAGCAGGGCGGGGCGGGUUGAAAACUGAAAAAAUAACUAUGCGGGGCGCGGCGAAAUUUUUGUGGGUUUUGCCAAACCCACCCCGCCCCACUACCAUCCCUAGACAUCCAGUGCUCUUAACUAUCAGAACUGAUAUUUUGUUCAAAGGUGUAGGUCUGCAACUUUAUGAUAGCUGAGUGUGACAAAUAAUACUUUGGUCUGAGGCUGUGCUCUGUUAACAUUCAUUUGUCUACCAAAUUCUUCAGCAUUGCACCACUUCCAGGUUUUCCUUUCCAACAUAUCGAAGCAGAUCACAAAGCAAUGUUUACAGAAUGGGAACCAUUUUGUAGAAGCCUCUCUAAUGAAUCUGUAGGUAUUUGUACUCUUUCCUAGUUAAAUCAAACCAUCCUACUGCUUGAUGUGUCGUUUCCAUUAUAAAUUUGAAGGAUAAAAAUUUGUCAGAAUGAUCCACCUCUCCACAAUUAAUGACUUCCAAUUUGUUCAAUUUGCUACCAGGGACAUGAAUUAUGUUCUGCUUGUCAUUACACGCUAGCUCUGUUCUAAAGCUCCAUAUAGAUGUUAUAUUUCAAAUAUACACAAACACAUAUAAAAAAUUGCGGACAACCAUCCCAAUUAUCUAGGAAAUAAGUAAACUUCCAUUGUCAGUAGUUGGCAGCAAUACCACUUCCAAUAUAUUCUCAGUUAGUUUGCUUUUGUUUCAUAAAUGUAAGUGUAAUUUGCCUAAAUUAUAGCAAAAGGCGCGAGUCAGUUCUCAACAUUCAUGUGAUCCUUUAUUAGAAAGACAAGCGACUAAUGAUGAUAGUAGCAAAAGAGAGAAGUCACCACAAUUUGAAUUGUCCUCUCUCUCCAAUCACUUCCUGUGCAACAGCCAACAUGAAUGGUAGUUUUAGCGCAACAUUAAUCCCUCUAAUUGUGGUAGUUUUCAGGUGAUGCUAAUUUCUUCUGUUGUUCCACAUUUCCGUCAUUGCUUCUUGCCUAAGCCGGGGUUGGAUAGCAAACUUGUCAUUUCCUCAUCUAAUGUUUUUUCAGUUCGUAGAACAAGUUUGCCACCAGAACCUAUGGAAUCACUCCUUCCAUUAUCGAUGUAAUUAUUCUGACUGUGUUAUUUCUGUAGCAAGCUUGCAGAAUAUAUAUAUAUAUAUAUAUAUAUAUAUAUAUAUAUGUGUGUGUGUGUGUGUGUGUGUGUGUGUGUGUGUGUGUGUGUAAUUUAUGGCGUUAGUUUAGCAUGUAAUAAGUAUUUCUUAAUAACGAAAGAGAAUUUUUUAGAAGAGGAAAUCAUGUAGUGCAACCGAUAAUUGCUGGAGGACUCAAAGACCACAUGAAAAAAUAGCUGGAUGCUACCCAAAAGCUAAGUCCUUUUUACCUUAUACAGAAUAAGAAAGUUUACAAGAUCUUUGCAUUUGAUAAGAGGUGUUACAUCUUUGCAGCUUUACCUGCAGAGGGAUAGUAAGUACCCAUUUGAAUCUAACUCGUUAGACGAAAUUGUUAUCGCAUGCCUAUGGCCACAAAGGACAGAAAUAUAAAAUACUUAAUUCACACUCUCACGGGUAAAUAUAACAAAGAAGUACCUUUAAUUUCUCAAUCAGGUAGCCUAACCUUCGGACAAGAGUUACAUUUUCAGGUGAUGCAAAUUUCUCGUGUUUUGUAUUUCUGUCACUGAUUCUUGUCUAAGCCUGGGCUCGACUUUAAAAUUGUCAUUUCCUCAUGGUCAAUUCUUGAGGUUCAUAGCUGAAGUUCCACGAGAACCUUUGCAAGCACUCCUUUCAUCACUCGACGAAUUGCGGGCUCAGAGAAAGUGCAAGCUCACUUUCUCAGUCAGGUAGCCUAACCCUUCGGAAAAGAAUUACAUCAAGCUUGAAUUUAAAGAAAUUGGAAAGGACUUUCAAAGUCUGCUUCCAUUAUUUAAGCACAUAUAAUAUCUUUUGAUUUGAGGUUGAUGUGUAAAACUGCAUUUGAUAGCAAAUAUACUAUGCUAGAAUGUUGAACAAUUCAAAAGCCUUUGGUUCUUCAUCAAGUGUUAGCUAGUGAUUUUAAGAAUGUAUUGCCAGAUUGCAUCCCUUAACAUUGCUUUCUUCAUCAAUUCUUGUGAGUUAUGACACAGGGUUGUUUAAUGUAAGAGCAUAUUGCAGAUCUUGCAUUGAAAGCCCUUGAUCGGGAAGUUGCCUGAAAUUUUUUGUUCUUUGACAGUAUUGAUAAGGUCAAAAUGUCCUGGACUCAUUUUGUAUUCCCAGUGAUCAUAUAUGUAGAACAAUACAAUCACCCAGAGGAAUUUGUAACAGUACAAGGUUCAAUCAAUUGUUUUCUCUGCUCUAUCUUGAGAAUGAUCUGCAACAAUACAAAGUCAUUUCCUCAUGGAAUGUUCUUUCAGUUUUUAGCUGAAGUUUGUGCUCUCUAUUUAUUAAGUAUUCGAUGCUUGGAAAUGAGUUCCUUGCAGUAGCUAAGGAGAGAUUGAAACAUUCACUCCUUUAAAAAACAAGAAGGAAAAAAAGGGAAUAUGAUGAUAAAAAUAGACCUCGAAAAAGCUUUUGAUCGAUUAAAAUGGUCUUUUAUCCGUUAUUCCCUUCAACACUUACGCUUUCCGCUACCCCUGAUUAACCUCAUAAUGUCUUGUGUUACAUAUUCCUCCAUAUCCAUGAUCAUUAAUGGUACUCCUACACCCUUCUUCCAACAUUCUAGAGGUACAAGACAAGGAGACCCCCUAUCAUCGUACCUAUUCAUCAUAUGUAUGAAAUCAUUAUCCCGAAUCAUCGAGCACAACAUAGACAUUUGCUGGUGGACCCCAUUCUCCUUAAUAAAAAUGCUCCACCUCUCUCACACCUCAUGUUUGCAGAUGACCUCAUCCUCCUAGCACAAGCGGGCCUCUAACACCUCUACAAUUAUCGAAAUAUUCCAACAAUUAAGUGCAAUAUCUGGACAAAGAAUCAACUUCCAGAAAUCAAAGCUUCUCUUCUCAGCAAACGUAAACCCUUCUCUUAGCCAAAUCAUAUCUAACUCCUUAAAUAUCCCCAUCACCACAAACAUAGGCAAAUACUUAGGUGUCCCAAUUACACAUAUACAACUUAAAACAUCUUAUUACCAAUACAUUAUUGAUCGAGUUACCUCAAAACUAACAGGUUGGAGAUCACAAUUCCUCAUUUUGGCGGGAAGAACAAUCCUAAUCAAAUCAGUGCUAAACACAAUUCCCACAUAUGUAAUGCAAAUUAACUUACUACCACCCAAACUAAUUCACAAGCUCGAACAAAUUCAAUGAAAUUUCCUCUGGGGCUGAACUGAUCUAAAACGAAAACUGCAUUUAAUUAACUGGGAUAAAUAACCACGCCAAAAUCAGAAGGGGGCUUAGGAAUACAAAAUCUUUGGCACUAUACUCACACCAAUAACUCUCCUUGGAUAGCAAUAUUAUCAACAAAAUAUGACCACCCGUAAGAGCUUUCUAAAAAUUAUUUAUACAAACAAAAAACUCGCCCUAAUGACUCCUACAUUUGGAAGAGCAUGGUUAAAAACAUCGAUUAUUGCCGCUCAGGAACCAGUUGGAACAUAACCAAUGGUAAAAACAUAAAUCUUUGGACUGAUAAGUGGAUUGCUAACAACCUAUCUCUCAGAAACUUAAUCCAUGGACCUAUUCCAAAACAUGAACUCUAUAUACCAGUGGCACAACUCAUCUCGCACUCAACAUGGUACACCUCCAAUCUCUCCUUUCUACUACCCCUCAGAUCAUAUCCCUCAUUCAAAACACCCCCAUCCUUACAACCCAACAAGGAGAUGAUACAUCCUACUGGCACCACUCUAACGAUGGAUCAUUUACCACUUCCUCAGCCUAUUUAUAUAUACUACACCAAGACCACCCCUGUAAAAUAAAAUUUCUUAAUAAUUGGAUUUGGAAACUAACCACACUACCAAAAAUAAAGUAUUUUUUAUGGCUUAUUGCACAUGAGAAACUCCCAACUAAAACAUUGCUAUACCAUAGAAAAAUCACUAACAACCCUUACUGUCGAACUGUAUUAAUAUACGAGAGAACAUCCCACACUUUUUUCUACAAUGCAAACCAACAAAAGACAUGUGGAACCACUUCCGUAUAAGAACACCUUCAACCAACCUCAUACAAUGGAUACACAAACUAUGCACCUCUCCAACACUACUAUACCAUUUUUCAUUCUAACUCCCAUCCUACUGUGGCAACUCUGGUUAAAUCGCAAUAAUAAUCAUUUCAAAAACCAAAAUCACCAAAUUGACCCCACCACAAUCAUCUCACUAGCGUCCCAAGUAUAUUACUUAACAAAUAUCUCUAGCAACAAAACCAAGGGUAAGAGAAAUUAUUCCUUGGACUAAACCUCAAGCACCUCAUUAUAAACUCAACAUUGACGUGGCCUACGACCCAACAAAUCAUCAUGGAGGAGCAGGAGGAGUCUUCUGUGACUCCAUAGGGCAAUGGAUUUAUGGAUUUGCAACACACAUACCAAGUACAAAUGUCCUACAAGCAGAACUACUGGCACUGUAUCAUGGGCUUACUAUUGCUAUCAACCGAAGCCUCCAUCCAAUAAUGGUCGAAACAGACUCACAGGUCAAUGAUCCAGGAACUCAACAUCCAACAAGUUAAUCACAUAAUGAGAGAAAGCAACGGAGUGGCGGACGCACUUGCUAAAUUCGAAAAAUUAGACACAGGACCACCACCACACCUAAUUGUGUUU
Molecule: long non-coding RNA, 6067 nt
Organism: Nicotiana attenuata
Lineage: Eukaryota; Viridiplantae; Streptophyta; Magnoliopsida; Solanales; Solanaceae
Exons: 3
Source: RefSeq, a predicted model, not a curated record